GAUAGUUUGUCAGCUAUCUUUAAAGUUGGUGUCAAUUCAGGAGAGGUCUUUUACACAGAUUUGAGGAAAUUGGGUGAUGGGGAUAGUAAUCCUUGGAUUUGCUUGGGCGAUAAGAGGAAAAUGCUGAAUGUCAAGAAAGAAGGAGUUGGGUGCAAGAUUGAGUCUUACGGGAAUCAAUUAUUUUGUAGUAAAGGAGGAGAUGUUGAG
RNAcentral lists this unclassified non-coding RNA (207 nucleotides) under Hevea brasiliensis (rubber tree). The record is from RNAcentral. Lineage: Eukaryota; Viridiplantae; Streptophyta; Magnoliopsida; Malpighiales; Euphorbiaceae.